Molecule: long non-coding RNA, 3849 nt
Organism: Ctenopharyngodon idella (grass carp)
Lineage: Eukaryota; Metazoa; Chordata; Actinopteri; Cypriniformes; Xenocyprididae
Exons: 2
Source: RefSeq, a predicted model, not a curated record
CUGCAUUCAUCACAAAGAAAUAAAAUACCUUGUUUUUUUGUGUUUUUUUUUUUUUUUCAUAAAAAUUGUCAUGAUUUAGAAAUUAAAGGCUAUUUACUACCCUAAUUUUAGCCCUCUGAUUUGAAUGCUCUGUUGGAAGGGGUAUGCUGUGAGACUUUAAUGUAAACUAAUGUAAACAAAGAUUGGCUAACAUCUUUGCAUAUGAAAUGAGUAGGCUAUUACAUGUGGAACUCAUUUGAAACUUAUUACUAUGUUUUUACCAUUACAGCUGUCGAGAUUAACUAAUUGUGAAAAGUGUUAAUUAUAGCAUUAUAUUUAUAUCUACUCCCGUCACAUGAAAAUAUGAGCAUUGUAGCCAGUGACAGACAUGUCUGUUGAGCGCAUGAAUGCCACACAAUUUCUGCACUCUCACGAAUACUUUCAUCAUAACGGUUCAUACGUGGUGGAAAUAAGAGAUUCAUUGUGCAGUGUAGACAGUGUCAUUGAUUGUAACAGGAGUUUUGUCCAGAGUCCAGAACUAAUAAACUCGCACUGUGUGAUUGACAGCUCCAGCGAUUAUACUGUAAAGGGAGGCUUCUUUGAUCGCUUUCUGGACAUGAUUUAAUCAAUUUAAAUAAUAGAUUAUUUUCAGACCACUAAGAGAAACAAUAUGAAGUUGACCGUUUAGUCACUAGCUUGAUUUACUGAUGCAUAAACAGCAAUAAAUUAUUUUGAGACCGAGGAUGUCUGACUGUACAUGAAUCAUUACAUAUCAGAAAUCACUGAUCACAAAUUAGGCAUUAGAAUUAACACGGUUACUUACAUGUUGUGGCAUUACUGUUGGGUCAGUAAAAGUCUGUUUGCAAAGCCUAUGAAGAAUUGCGACUGAUUUACCAAAGAAUUCACAGUGAAAUGUACCGAACAAACAAAUAAUGCUCUACUGAGACAUUUUGUGAUUUUCAGUCCAGUGGCCCUGUAUCUAUACGCGAUGGUGUAGAAGUAGGCAUUGAUUUGAUUCUGUAGCGGCGGUCUUUCGUCGCACUAUUACAUAAUACUGAAGGAAAAUCUGAAAUGAGUCAUUUGGCAGCUUGGUUUCAAUAAAAGGUGUUUUUGGACUAAUGAGAAAGUUUUGAGUUCUCAAACUUCUCAAACAGGAUCAAGAAAAUUUGGUAACACUUUACAAAAUAAGGUUUAUUAGUUAACUACAUUAGUUAACAUGAACUAAAAAUGAACUGCACUUAUAAAGCAUUUAUUAAUCUAUGUUCAUGUUAAUUUCAACAUUUACUAAUACAUAAUUAAAAUCUUGUUAACAUUAGUUAAUGCACUGUGAACUAUCAUGAACAAACAAUGAACAACUGUAUUUUCAUGAACUAACGUUAACGAAGAUUAGUAAAUACAAAUGUAUUGCUCAUGGUUAGUUCAUGUUAGUUAAUACAUUAAUUCAUGUUUAACUAAUAAACCUUGUUGUAAAAUGUUACCGAAAAUUUUGAUUUCUCAAUUCAUGACUCUUUUAAAAAGUAUUUGAGAUGCUAUAUGAGAAUAAUUUCAUGAAUGAAUGUCCCUUGUGAAAAAGUGCACUUAAUUGAAUGUGCACUUGUAGUGUACUUCAAAUUUUAAAAGUAUAUUUAAAAAAAAUGUAUUUGCAGUUGAUAUUAAUGAAAUAAAAGACCACUUAAGUGUACUUAAAGAGAGUCAACUUUCAUGACAAUGUUUUUGAGGCGACUUAACGUUCCUUUGUUACUAGUUCUAAAGUGACAUUUUACAAUUAGUAACGGAGACUUGAGAUCAACUGUUAAACUGUCAACUUGAGAUUUGAAUCCAUGGCGGAAGGAAGUAGUUCUACACAAAAGAGGGUUUUUAAAGACUCUGUUGUUGUUUCUUAUUUAUUUACUCACUUGUGCUGUCAAACUGUUGUAUAAACACAAUAUCACACUCAUAGUCGUGCGAUAUGGCUGUAUAUCAGCAUGCUGUGAUCACAGCUGUAUAUAUUACUCUGUGUUAUUCGGUGGUUGGAUGCUACUUCACAACCGGAACUAACCUACUUUCAGAAAUUAAAGUGUUUAAAUUUCGAGACAUCACGAUGUGAUGCCUAGAUUGCAGCAGUGAAGCAAGAAGGCUGGAUACCAACUAGCAACUCUAGGAUAUGCAGCACAUAUUUUGAUUCUGGAAAGUCAUCAUAUGACUAUGAAAGUCCAGACUACAAAAAGGGUUUAACAAUGUUUUUCAUGCUUGAUCAAUGAACCAUAAACAAUUAUUGCACAUGUACCUGUGGAACAGUCCUUAAGACACUAACAGUUUACAGGCGGUAGAUAAUUAACGUCAGUUACAAUAACUUAGGACACAAAAGAGACCCUUCUACUGACUCUGAAAAACACCAGGAGAAAGAUGCCCAAUGUGGCAGGGAGGCAUGAGGACUUAAGAUGUGGCCAGAGCCCCCCCAAAAUAUAUAUAUGUGUGUGUGUGUGUUGUGUUGCAUGUCUGUAUGUGACUGUGUACUUGAAAACCAUAUAGGAACAUAUUUUGUAUAUGUUGUCAUUUAUCAGGUUUCUGUAAAUGUGUCCACCAUCAACGACCUAAGUGUAAUCUGUAUGUUUUAUUCUGAACUGCUCUUUGUCUGACCGGCUUGGAAAUAUCAAUGUCUUCCACUGGUUUUGGAUCAAUCUAAAACAAAAUGGCUUUGUACAUUUCCUAAUCUACAAGUAUCAACUUUUAUCUUUUAUCUCAUGCAAGGCACAGAUGUUACAGAUGGAGCAUUCAAACCCUUUUAUACACUAUUCCACAGCAACAAGGAUUGCAGCAACAUGGCUACAAACCUUACCUAACCUAAGCACACACAGUUUGAAACAUAUGAAAUAAGUAAUAAUGGCACUAACUGUAUGCUAUGUAGUUUACUAACAUACAGUUAGAAAUGUAAUUAUAUAAUUUACUUAUUUGCAUAGACACACAGCCAUGCAAGUGCAGUGUAAACUAAUAAUAACCUCCCCGAGCACCUUAGCGACAAACCAAGACGAAUAAGUUUUUGACACCAUUUGACUUGCUUCAGCUUCACCAAACACAAGACAAAUGUCAUCCACAUUGUACAAACAAAUGUUCCCAACCUUUCCUCUAAGAAAGUAAUUGUAUGCAUCAACCAGGUGAUUUUAGUCAUCUAGAUAAUUUUUCAUUUAUUUUCAAUUUUUGUAAAUACCUUAACUUUUCCGUUUGUGCUAGACUAAAAGAAUGCGCUUUGACAGAUCUGUGAUUUAAAAAUAGCACAACCGGAAAUGCUUCAGGACCAGACAUGCGCAAUAGCAUUCCAACGUGUUUGUUAUUGUUUAUGUCUUGAAAUAGUGUUUCUUUAUAAAGUGACCUCACCAACUACUGGCCUGGCAUGCAUUAUACAGCGUUUUUAGUCGUUUUCGCAGAUCCGUGUGAAAGGGGAUCAUUUUGACAAUUAUGUCACCUGUACGCGGAAAAUGCAAAGGAAAAACUUUUCCAUGUUUAGUACAGUAAUGUCAUGUAAAUGUACCCUCUGUCAAGCUUUGAUGUAUCCUUUUACCUGCCUGUUAUUCCCAGGAAGAUAAGUGACCAUGUUUCUUAGAGAUUUUGUGAUAUACAGUAUUGAACUGAUGUUACCUGAACCUUUUGUUUCAUGAUGAUCUGAGAGUGGAUUUCCAAUAUAUGUUUGUGAAUUAGUCCUGUGAAAAGAAAAAAUAGAUUUGUUAAGUUGAUAAAGGAAUAUUCAGCACUUACCUGCAUUAUUCACCUGCAUCUCCAGCACGUUCUGUGUUUGCUAAACCUGCAUACUUAUCUGUAAACUUACCCUGUGAUACUUGCCUCAUCUACGCCACAGUUCUGCAAUAAACUCCUGCAGCUGGGUUCAUCUUCAUA